This 277-nucleotide ribosomal RNA is filed under the name uncultured bacterium. RNAcentral describes it as "partial 16S ribosomal RNA". It matches the Rfam family "Bacterial small subunit ribosomal RNA", at positions 335 to 629 of the family's 1533-position model. The record is from RNAcentral.
AACCUACGGGGGGCAGCAGUCGGGAAUAUUGCGCAAUGGAGGAAACUCUGACGCAGUGACGCCGCGUAUAGGAAGAAGGUUUUCGGAUUGUAAACUAUUGUCAUUAGGGAAGAUAAAAGACUGUACCUAAGGAGGAAGCCCCGGCUAACUAUGUGCCAGCAGCCGCGGUAAUACAUAGGGGGCAAGCGUUAUCCGGAUUUACUGGGUGUAAAGGGAGCGUAGACGGCAGUGCAAGUCUGGAGUGAAAGGCGGGGGCUCAACCCCCGGACUGCUCUGG